UACAGAGGGUGCGAGCGUUAAUCGGAAUUACUGGGCGUAAAGCGUGCGCAGGCGGUUUUGUAAGUCAGAUGUGAAAGCCCCGGGCUUAACCUGGGAAUGGCAUUUGGGACUGCAAGGCUGGAGUGUGGCAGAGGAGACUGGAAUUCCUGGUGUAGCAGUGAAAUGCGUAGAUAUCAGGAGGAACACCGAUGGCGAAGGCAGGUCUCUGGGCUGACACUGACGCUCAUGCACGAAAGCGUGGGGAGCAAACAGG
Molecule: ribosomal RNA, 253 nt
Filed under: uncultured bacterium
Lineage: Bacteria
Description: partial 16S ribosomal RNA
Rfam family: Bacterial small subunit ribosomal RNA
Source: RNAcentral